AUGGGUUUGGAAUGGGAGGAAUUGUGGAAAUGCACUGAAAAAGCUCCCCGCGGCCAUCGGUGCGCAGAGCCUGAGCGAUCCACUUGUUGCUUACGGGCCGUACAGACAGCACGGGGAGCAAAAGGACGAAGUAACUCACACACCUCCCCUCCGCGCAGCCUCACAGAGGCAAAAAAAAACAAUCCACACCUGGCCAAAGUAACGCACACGGGGAAGCAGAGGCCGAGCCCUGCGCCAGGAGCAGGACGCGCCGCUCUCCUACCUGCUUUCGUACCCUGCCGCUACCCGCUGACAGCAGCACGGUCUCUAAAAAAGGAUGAAAAAAAUAAAAAAAAGGCAUCUUUGGACUCCCCAGUUCUGCAGAGGCAGUGCUCAGGGGGAGCACGCACACCUUCCACCCAAAGUGCUCUGAGUCUCCGCCCGUCCGUCCCAGAGGAGGAUAUAAGAAGUGUUUCGGUGACAUCCGGACGUCGGCGUGCACCACGCCGCCCUCCUGCACGCUCCACGCGGCGCAGCCUCCGCCUCCCCAGUUUCUGUCCGUCCGACGGGGGACUCGUCCGCAGCAAGCCACCGGCUGGAUGUCCUCCACGUGGGGCCGGGCCAUCAGGAGAGCUCCAAAACGCGGAAACACAGCCCUGGGGCCUCGGCCAGCCUUUAACGGAGGCUCUUCCCGACGCUCCUGCCGACAGCAAAGCCCCAGGAGGGCCUGAAAAGCUUCAGGGGGCUGAGGAUGCCUGCGCCUGGGGCUGAGCGCUCCCGGUGGAAGCUCGAUAAUCGGUGGAAGCAGAGAGAAGACGCUCGUGACGCUGUCUUAUGGUCCGUCCGCGGAUGCUCGUGAAACAGACCGAGGUGCGUAUUUCAAACUUAAUUUAUCAAAUAACUCGGGCACUGAGUAUCAGGCGUACAAGAGAAGUGUUAAUUACACAUAUUUUCCUAGGGACCUGCAGGAACUGCGGCAAGAAAAAGGCCGAAGGUAAAUCUGACAGCAGUACCUGCCCUCGACAUCAGCGGCAGCCCCUUUCUCCUGCCAGCACCUGACACCCUGUACGAAAGCACCGCAUUUUCGUGGCAGAAGGGAUGCCGGGGCGCCCCGCGGUCACUGCGCCCCGUCCUUCCUACGAGUUCCUUUCCCGGGCUGCUUCCCAGAUCGCAGGAGGGCUCAGCAAAACCCGUAAGGAAUCCCCGAAGCCUUCAGGAGACCGAGAGGCUGCGGAGAAUCUCAGCUGGAGCAGGUGGAAGCAGCAACGCCAACGCUCCCAGCGCGCACACGGCAGCAGAAGUUUGACCUGAAGCAGGAUUUGUGCUUCGGGCUGCCCCGGUGCUCCCAUCCCGAGCUCCUGCACUCACUUGCGCUUCUUUAUUUUCACUUAGGAGGCUGAAAUCUCCCGGGCUUGAGCCUGCCAGAGGGGACCGAGCUCUAUUAAGUCUGCAAAAGACGAUUCGGGCUCCUGGAGCUUCGCUCCGGGGCUCCGGGCGCUCCCCGGCACACCGAGGUCCCCCAUCCACGCCUCAA
Molecule: long non-coding RNA, 1513 nt
Filed under: Anser cygnoides (Swan goose)
Lineage: Eukaryota; Metazoa; Chordata; Aves; Anseriformes; Anatidae
Description: lncRNA (ENSACDG00005019186.1)
Source: RNAcentral